GACGAACGCUGGCGGCGUGCUUAACACAUGCAAGUCGAACGAAGAGCGAUGGAAGCUUGCUUCUAUCAAUCUUAGUGGCGAACGGGUGAGUAACGCGUAAUCAACCUGCCCUUCAGAGGGGGACAACAGUUGGAAACGACUGCUAAUACCGCAUACGAUCUGACCUCGGCAUCGAGGAUAGAUGAAAGGUGGCCUCUAUUUAUAAGCUAUCACUGAAGGAGGGGAUUGCGUCUGAUUAGCUAGUUGGAGGGGUAACGGCCCACCAAGGCGAUGAUCAGUAGCCGGUCUGAGAGGAUGAACGGCCACAUUGGGACUGAGACACGGCCCAGACUCCUACGGGAGGCAGCAGUGGGGAAUCUUCCGCAAUGGACGAAAGUCUGACGGAGCAACGCCGCGUGAGUGAUGACGGCCUUCGGGUUGUAAAGCUCUGUUAAUCGGGACGAAAGGCCUUCUUGCGAAUAGUUAGAAGGAUUGACGUACCGGAAUAGAAAGCCACG
RNAcentral lists this ribosomal RNA (497 nucleotides) under Veillonella dispar. Its description in RNAcentral is "bacterial SSU rRNA". It matches the Rfam family "Bacterial small subunit ribosomal RNA", at positions 28 to 495 of the family's 1533-position model. Lineage: Bacteria; Bacillati; Bacillota; Negativicutes; Veillonellales; Veillonellaceae. The record is from RNAcentral.